Molecule: ribosomal RNA, 253 nt
Filed under: uncultured bacterium
Lineage: Bacteria
Description: partial 16S ribosomal RNA
Rfam family: Bacterial small subunit ribosomal RNA
Source: RNAcentral
UACAGAGGUCCCAAGCGUUGUUCGGAUUCACUGGGCGUAAAGGGUGCGUAGGUGGUGAGGUAAGUCGGAUGUGAAAUCUCGGAGCUUAACUCCGAAAUGGCAUUGGAAACUACCUCGCUAGAGGAUCGGAGGGGAGACUGGAAUUCUCGGUGUAGCAGUGAAAUGCGUAGAUAUCGAGAGGAACACCAGUGGCGAAGGCGAGUCUCUGGACGAUUCCUGACGCUGAGGCACGAAAGCCAGGGGAGCAAACGGG